RNAcentral lists this ribosomal RNA (301 nucleotides) under uncultured bacterium. Its description in RNAcentral is "partial 16S ribosomal RNA". It matches the Rfam family "Bacterial small subunit ribosomal RNA", at positions 509 to 807 of the family's 1533-position model. The record is from RNAcentral.
CAGCAGCCACGGUAAAACGGAGGGGGCUAGCGUUGUUCGGAAUUACUGGGCGUAAAGCGCACGUAGGCGGCUUGGUAAGUUAGAGGUGAAAGCCUGGAGCUCAACUCCAGAAUUGCCUUUAAGACUGCCGAGCUAGCAGGUGAGAGAGGUAAGUGGAAUUCCGAGUGUAGAGGUGAAAUUCGUAGAUAUUCGGAAGAACACCAGUGGCGAAGGCGGCUUACUGGCUCAUACUGGACGCUGAGGUGCGAAAGCGUGGGGAGCAAACAGGAUUAGAUACCCGUGUAGUCCCUGUCUCUUAUAC